AGUGAACGCUGGCGGCAUGCCUAAUACAUGCAAGUCGAACGGCCACACAGUGAGAGUUUUCCCUUAACGGUGGCGACUGGCGGAUGGGUGACAAGUACAUAAGAUUCCACUAUUUCGUGGGUGACUACGUAGAGCCACUUAUGAUACUACCGCAUAUGUUCUACCGGUUGAAGCAAGAGUUCUUCGCACUUUGCCUGUUUCUUAGAGCUGAUGUCGGAUUACCUAGUCUGGGGGGUAAAGGACCACCUUGGCGACGAUCCGUAGCUUGUCCGAGAGGAUGAUCAGCCACACUGAAACUGAGACACGGUCCAGACUCCUACGGGAGGCAGCAGUGGGGAAUAUUGGACAAGGGGCGCAAGCCUGGGCCAGCCAUACCGCGUGGGUGAAGAGGGCCUGCGGCUUGUAAAGCCGUUUUGUGGGAAAAGAAAAGCAGCAGGUUAAUACCCAGCUGUUCUGACUGUACCCAAAGAAUAAGCACCGUCUAACCUCG
Molecule: ribosomal RNA, 490 nt
Filed under: uncultured bacterium
Lineage: Bacteria
Description: partial 16S ribosomal RNA
Rfam family: Bacterial small subunit ribosomal RNA
Source: RNAcentral